RNA transcript from Capra hircus (goat), 2032 nucleotides. It is a transcript of the gene named glutamate rich 1, with no coding region annotated. The transcript has 7 exons. The record is from RefSeq and is a predicted model, not a curated record. Lineage: Eukaryota; Metazoa; Chordata; Mammalia; Artiodactyla; Bovidae.
UCUACAAAGGCGGAGGCCGGAAGUGCAGCAGAGUUGGCUCCUGCCUGGGCUGGGGUCCCCGGGGGCGUGAGGCUGGCAUGGCCGCGCUGCGAAGGCACGUGUUUGUUGGAAAAGUACUGAAGAAACUUUACCCUGAGGUUUCACACGGCCAAGAAAAGAAGGCGCCUGUGACUCCAGCCUCCAGAAACCCAUCUGAGAAAGUGGCUCCUGAAAGAGAGAAGGGCCAGAGUGUCCCUCCUGAGACAGGUGGUGACACUCGGGUCCAGCCCAUGCAGCGGCUCUAUACCGUGGGCCUGCCUCCUAAGGGGUGGGUGCCCCCUCUGCUGGAGCCACCGAGCUGCUCAAGUUCAGAGAGCUCUUCCAACAGUGAGGACACAGGAGAUCAGGAUCUUCACAAUCUGCCAAAGAGAAGAAGAAUUAGAAAGCAUAAAUCAAAGAAAAAAUUUAAAAAUCCCAAUAACACCCAUGUAAAACCAGCAGAAUCAGAGAAACAGCAGAGUCUUCUGCAAGAAAAAUUGCAACCACGGCACACAGAUGGCCCCACAAUAAGCAAAAAUAAAAAAAGGAAACUCAAAAAGAAACAGCAAAUGCAAAGGAAGAAAGCAGCUGGCUCACUAACAGGAGCCUCUAGCGUGCACUUCAUGUACCAGCCUGAAGAGACCAGCAGUGAGCAGGAGGAUGUGCGAGCGACUGAUGGAGAGAAUGCUGGGGGUGCCACGGCGGGCGGGGCUGCGGGCGCUGUGGAGGAGCAGGUCCUGCCCCUUGAGGAGGGAGGAGUCCCGGAUGCUGAGGAGGAAGAGGUGAAAAGUACCAAUGAAAAGGCAGAUGGUAUCCUGAACUUUUUGAAGUCAACACAAGAAAUUUAUUUUUAUGAUGGUGUCUCCAAGGAUUCUGAUUCUGGUGUCUUUAUGGAAAGCACCAACAAGCUAUUUAAACAACUGGAAACUCACAGUGUGUCUCCCUCAGACGUGUUCAUUCUGGAUCACAUGAAAACGCUGCUACUUUUGCACGACACCAAGAGAUUGAAGAGUGCCCUGGACUUGUUCCCGGAACACUGCAGGAUGCCACUCGAAUAUGCCCAAGUAAUCUCAGCUUUCUUUAAUUACUGGAUCACACAUAUCCUUCCUGAGAAAAACGAUGAAUGAAAUCAGUGUAUCUGUUUAAAAAGAGCUAAUAUUUGACAAGAAACUAGAAAAGACAGAUGCACCAUUCUCCAGGGUUCCGUUUCUCCCUCACCUCACUGUGUUCUUAAGAGGUGUCUGUCCCACUAAGUGGAACCUCCUAGAGUCAGAUGAAUCAGCAAGGAUGCCCUACUGGUUCUGGAGAUCUGUCAACUUAAGACUGGUUUCUGUGAAGCUACCCAGGCUUAAUAAAAGUUGGCAAGUGGAGCCGCAAACCAGGCCUGGACAAGGACAGGCCCAACCAGGAUGUGCCACCAACCAGGACAGGGCCAUAAGCCAGGAGAGGUGACCGACCAGGUCAGGUCCACUGACCAGGAUGGGUCACUAGCCUGGACAGGUCCACCGACCAGGACAAAUCCACCAACUAGGACAGGCCACCAACCAGGAGAGGUCCAUCAUUCAGGAUGGGCCACCAAGCAGGAUGGGCCUACUGUACCCAGGGGCUGCCUCCUUGAGAGUGGAUGAUGAUCCAUUUUCCCCAUGGAGAUGGAAAAAGAACACAGCCACACCCCGAAGUAGGAGCUGUGGCAGCUUCCUGUCUACACCCACAACAGCCUUCACUUACCCCUCAAUGGAGACAUACUCAGCUGCUGCCACUGCCUCUUCCUCUUUCCCUGAGAUGUCAUAUUGGUGAGGUCAGAGGCCGGGGAAUCAUGUCCCCUUCACCGCAGGGUUGAGAGGUCACUGGCAGGCAGGUGAUGUCAGCCUGCUGCCUCCUCUCCAGAACAUCCCACUGCCUUGGGCAGGACACCUGGCUUUCUGAUUCACCAGGUUGUAAUUCUUCUAUUAAGAUGCCUCCCAAUUAAUGACACAUUUGCUGGUAUAAAAAUAAAGUAUUGGCUGAUUCAUAA